CGAAGGGUGCAAGCGUUACUCGGAAUUACUGGGCGUAAAGCGUGCGUAGGUGGUGAGUUAAGUCUGUCGUGAAAGCCCCGGGCUCAACCUGGGAAUGGCGAUGGAUACUGGCUCGCUAGAGUGCGGUAGAGGAGAGUGGAAUUCCCGGUGUAGCAGUGAAAUGCGUAGAGAUCGGGAGGAACAUCAGUUGCGAAGGCGGCUCUCUGGACCAGCACUGACACUGAGGCACGAAAGCGUGGGGAGCAAACAGGAUUAGAUACCCUGGUAGUCCACGCCCUAAACGAUGCGAACUGGACGUUGGGAGCAAUCAGGCUCUCAGUGUCGAAGCUAACGCGUUAAGUUCGCCGCCUGGGGAUACGGUCGCAAGACUG
This 371-nucleotide ribosomal RNA is filed under the name uncultured organism. RNAcentral describes it as "bacterial SSU rRNA". It matches the Rfam family "Bacterial small subunit ribosomal RNA", at positions 526 to 896 of the family's 1533-position model. The record is from RNAcentral.